RNAcentral lists this transfer RNA (74 nucleotides) under Phycisphaerales bacterium. RNAcentral describes it as "tRNA-Met". It matches the Rfam family "tRNA". Rfam says of the family: Transfer RNA (tRNA) molecules are approximately 80 nucleotides in length. Their secondary structure includes four short double-helical elements and three loops (D, anti-codon, and T loops). Further hydrogen bonds mediate the characteristic L-shaped molecular structure. tRNAs have two regions of fundamental functional importance: the anti-codon, which is responsible for specific mRNA codon recognition, and the 3' end, to which the tRNAs corresponding amino acid is attached (by aminoacyl-tRNA synthetases). tRNAs cope with the degeneracy of the genetic code in two manners: having more than one tRNA (with a specific anti-codon) for a particular amino acid; and 'wobble' base-pairing, i.e. permitting non-standard base-pairing at the 3rd anti-codon position. Lineage: Bacteria; Pseudomonadati; Planctomycetota; Phycisphaerae; Phycisphaerales. The record is from RNAcentral.
GGCGAUAUAGCUCAGCUGGAUAGAGCGAGGGAUUCAUAAACCCUAGGUCCCCGGUUCGAGUCCGGGUAUCGCCA